GGUUAAGCGACUAAGCGUACACGGUGGAUGCCCUGGCAGUCAGAGGCGAUGAAGGACGUGCUAAUCUGCGAUAAGCGUCGGUGAGGUGAUAUGAACCGUUAUAACCGGCGAUUUCCGAAUGGGGAAACCCAGUGUGAUUCGUCACACUAUCAUUAACUGAAUCCAUAGGUUAAUGAGGCGAACCGGGGGAACUGAAACAUCUAAGUACCCCGAGGAAAAGAAAUCAACCGAGAUUCCCCCAGUAGCGGCGAGCGAACGGGGAGCAGCCCAGAGCCUGAAUCAGUGUGUGUGUUAGUGGAAGCGUCUGGAAAGGCGCGCGAUACAGGGUGACAGCCCCGUACACAAAAAUGCACAUACUGUGAGCUCGAUGAGUAGGGCGGGACACGUGGUAUCCUGUCUGAAUAUGGGGGGACCAUCCUCCAAGGCUAAAUACUCCUGACUGACCGAUAGUGAACCAGUACCGUGAGGGAAAGGCGAAAAGAACCCCGGCGAGGGGAGUGAAAAAGAACCUGAAACCGUGUACGUACAAGCAGUGGGAGCCUCUUAAUGGGGUGACUGCGUACCUUUUGUAUAAUGGGUCAGCGACUUAUAUUCUGUAGCAAGGUUAACCGAAUAGGGGAGCCGAAGGGAAACCGAGUCUUAACUGGGCGUUAAGUUGCAGGGUAUAGACCCGAAACCCGGUGAUCUAGCCAUGGGCAGGUUGAAGGUUGGGUAACACUAACUGGAGGACCGAACCGACUAAUGUUGAAAAAUUAGCGGAUGACUUGUGGCUGGGGGUGAAAGGCCAAUCAAACCGGGAGAUAGCUGGUUCUCCCCGAAAGCUAUUUAGGUAGCGCCUCGUGAAUUCAUCUCCGGGGGUAGAGCACUGUUUCGGCAAGGGGGUCAUCCCGACUUACCAACCCGAUGCAAACUGCGAAUACCGGAGAAUGUUAUCACGGGAGACACACGGCGGGUGCUAACGUCCGUCGUGAAGAGGGAAACAACCCAGACCGCCAGCUAAGGUCCCAAAGUCAUGGUUAAGUGGGAAACGAUGUGGGAAGGCCCAGACAGCCAGGAUGUUGGCUUAGAAGCAGCCAUCAUUUAAAGAAAGCGUAAUAGCUCACUGGUCGAGUCGGCCUGCGCGGAAGAUGUAACGGGGCUAAACCAUGCACCGAAGCUGCGGCAGCGACGUUUAUGCGUUGUUGGGUAGGGGAGCGUUCUGUAAGCCUGCGAAGGUGUACUGUGAGGUAUGCUGGAGGUAUCAGAAGUGCGAAUGCUGACAUAAGUAACGAUAAAGCGGGUGAAAAGCCCGCUCGCCGGAAGACCAAGGGUUCCUGUCCAACGUUAAUCGGGGCAGGGUGAGUCGACCCCUAAGGCGAGGCCGAAAGGCGUAGUCGAUGGGAAACAGGUUAAUAUUCCUGUACUUGGUGUUACUGCGAAGGGGGGACGGAGAAGGCUAUGUUGGCCGGGCGACGGUUGUCCCGGUUUAAGCGUGUAGGCUGGUUUUCCAGGCAAAUCCGGAAAAUCAAGGCUGAGGCGUGAUGACGAGGCACUACGGUGCUGAAGCAACAAAUGCCCUGCUUCCAGGAAAAGCCUCUAAGCAUCAGGUAACAUCAAAUCGUACCCCAAACCGACACAGGUGGUCAGGUAGAGAAUACCAAGGCGCUUGAGAGAACUCGGGUGAAGGAACUAGGCAAAAUGGUGCCGUAACUUCGGGAGAAGGCACGCUGAUAUGUAGGUGAAGUCCCUCGCGGAUGGAGCUGAAAUCAGUCGAAGAUACCAGCUGGCUGCAACUGUUUAUUAAAAACACAGCACUGUGCAAACACGAAAGUGGACGUAUACGGUGUGACGCCUGCCCGGUGCCGGAAGGUUAAUUGAUGGGGUUAGCGGUAACGCGAAGCUCUUGAUCGAAGCCCCGGUAAACGGCGGCCGUAACUAUAACGGUCCUAAGGUAGCGAAAUUCCUUGUCGGGUAAGUUCCGACCUGCACGAAUGGCGUAAUGAUGGCCAGGCUGUCUCCACCCGAGACUCAGUGAAAUUGAACUCGCUGUGAAGAUGCAGUGUACCCGCGGCAAGACGGAAAGACCCCGUGAACCUUUACUAUAGCUUGACACUGAACAUUGAGCCUUGAUGUGUAGGAUAGGUGGGAGGCUUUGAAGUGUGGACGCCAGUCUGCAUGGAGCCGGCCUUGAAAUACCACCCUUUAAUGUUUGAUGUUCUAACGUUGGCCCCUUACCGGGGUUGCGGACAGUGUCUGGUGGGUAGUUUGACUGGGGCGGUCUCCUCCUAAAGAGUAACGGAGGAGCACGAAGGUUGGCUAAUCCUGGUCGGACAUCAGGAGGUUAGUGCAAUGGCAUAAGCCAGCUUGACUGCGAGCGUGACGGCGCGAGCAGGUGCGAAAGCAGGUCAUAGUGAUCCGGUGGUUCUGAAUGGAAGGGCCAUCGCUCAACGGAUAAAAGGUACUCCGGGGAUAACAGGCUGAUACCGCCCAAGAGUUCAUAUCGACGGCGGUGUUUGGCACCUCGAUGUCGGCUCAUCACAUCCUGGGGCUGAAGUAGGUCCCAAGGGUAUGGCUGUUCGCCAUUUAAAGUGGUACGCGAGCUGGGUUUAGAACGUCGUGAGACAGUUCGGUCCCUAUCUGCCGUGGGCGCUGGAGAACUGAGGGGGGCUGCUCCUAGUACGAGAGGACCGGAGUGGACGCAUCACUGGUGUUCGGGUUGUCAUGCCAAUGGCACUGCCCGGUAGCUAAAUGCGGAAGAGAUAAGUGCUGAAAGCAUCUAAGCACGAAACUUGCCCCGAGAUGAGUUCUCCCUGACUCCUUGAGAGUCCUGAAGGAACGUUGAAGACGACGACGUUGAUAGGCCGGGUGUGUAAGCGCAGCGAUGCGUUGAGCUAACCGGUACUAAUGAACCGUGAGGCUUAACCUU
Molecule: ribosomal RNA, 2905 nt
Filed under: Escherichia coli
Lineage: Bacteria; Pseudomonadati; Pseudomonadota; Gammaproteobacteria; Enterobacterales; Enterobacteriaceae
Description: 23S ribosomal RNA
Rfam family: Bacterial large subunit ribosomal RNA
Source: RNAcentral